GGUUAGUAUUGAGGACUGAGAUGGAGAUUACGUUGCUCCUUUCAGAGCAUGAAGUCGGAGAACUUGGUGUGCUGGCGCCAUCUUGGGUGCGCUUCUGUGGUGAAGACAGUGCUGAAAUCUGCAAAUUGUCAGCUUUUAAUGUGUGCUUUUUGCUGGAUUGAUGUGCCAUGGUGUGGCAGGGAUUUUCCAACAGGAUUUGGUAAUUAUUUG
This is a non-coding RNA of Pelobates cultripes (western spadefoot toad), 210 nucleotides long. NCBI's taxonomy places the organism in Eukaryota, Metazoa, Chordata, Amphibia, Anura, Pelobatidae. The record is from the annotation of a GenBank genome assembly.